RNAcentral lists this unclassified non-coding RNA (2107 nucleotides) under Leishmania donovani. Its description in RNAcentral is "gene:LdHU3.35.2800(CDS-product:short_chain_dehydr ogenase_putative)". The record is from RNAcentral. Lineage: Eukaryota; Euglenozoa; Kinetoplastea; Trypanosomatida; Trypanosomatidae.
CGAACACACACACACGCACAUCUUUUUUUCUGUGAGUCGUCUUCAACGCGCUUCAGUUAACCUCUCUUGCUUUUCACCCCAGCGGUCAGAAGCAGCUACACAACGCUCACCCAUAAUUAUACCGGGUUAUUUUUAUCGAGGACCAAAGAGAAGCAGGCGAGAAAAUGAAGCUCGGGUACAAGAGCGAGACAAGUGCCUUUUUUGUGGGUGCGGCGACUUUCGCUGCUUGCUUCUUUAUUCCCCGCCGCUUCCUCGCUGCCGCUAUUCCAUUGUGGAUUGUAGCGAGCCGGCUGCUGGCGCGGGGCGCCGUGAAUCACGCACGCCCCGUGACGGAUGCGGACACUGCGGAUAAGCAGGCACAGGCCCGCUUUGUGAUGUCGCGUGACAUGCCGCUGGCGAAGCGUCCAGUGGCGAUCGUGACGGGAACUAACAGCGGGAUCGGGUACUGGACUGCUGUGGGUCUGGCUGUGGAGGGCUACGAGGUUGUGGUGACGUGCCGGUCGGCUGUGUUGACACAGCAGACGGCUGAGCGGAUUCAGCAGGAAGCGAAGCGCCGCCGUCGUGCCCAGCCGAAACUGUACGAGCACUCUCCGGCGUCAGUGCUCGUGGAGGGCCACCUGCCGGUGGAGUGCGACGACUUCGACAGUGUGCGCGCAUUCGCGGAGUGGGUGGCAAGGAAAUACGCGCAGCGCAACGUGCAGGUGCUGGUGAACAACGCAGGCGGCAUGCGCAAGGCGUUGGGCUUCUCUCGUCUUCAUCCUAACUUAGAGUUGCACACUGCCAUGAACUUCCUCGGCCCGUUUCUGCUGACGGAACUGUUGCUGCCUGUGCUGGAGAGGAACGGCGGCCGCGUUGUGUAUGUUUCGAGUGAAGCGCACCGCUUUGCACAGUCUCUCCUUCUUCCCGGCCGCUUUAGUGUGUGGAGAUCGAUUAGGGCAUUUCCCACAUGCAACGGCCUCAUUGCGGGAAAGUUGCUCAAUGCAUUGAAGGAGGUCAACCAGGGUGCUGGCAAGUCGAGCGGUCCGCUUCAGACUUCUUCGACUCAGCACGCCUUUGGCCGUUACGGCAUCAGCAAGCUACUGAACACCUACCACGCCCACAUGAUUGCGCGCCGCUACCGCGACGUGAAGGACGAGGCGCACCGUGUAUACGCCUGCUCGCUGCACCCCGGCUGUGUCGCUACCAACUUCUCUCGAGAUAUCAUGGGCGGCUUUGUGGGUAUGAUUUUCUCAUGGGCGUCGCUGCUGUUCUUAAAGACCGCAGAGGAGGGUGCGCAGACGACGCUGCACUGCGCCAUGUGCCCGCGCACAGAGUUGGAGUUGGUGUCGCCGUCUGGCGAGAAACCGACGACGAACGCGGAUGCGGUGAGCCCAUACUUCGUGGAGUGCGCGGACCAGACGACGAGUAUGCUGCGUGCGUACGGCUGGGACGUGAGUGAGGCAGCGGCGAUUUUGCAGUGGGGUCGGCAGCAAGUCGGCCUCGCCUAAAUCGUGAGGAGUUGCCGUAAUGAAAAGAGAAGUGCAUUUCACCACAUUACACAGGGUCAACACGGCGUAUGGUGGUUUGGUGGCGGCGUCUCUGGCUUUUAUCUUCCUCUCUUGUGCAUCGCCAUGUGGUGGCGGCAAACAUUCUGCGCUGUCAUCAUCUUCGUAUGUUUGUACGUCUCGUCCGCCUCUCUCCCUACUUCGUCUUUGACGUGCCUGUGUCCGUUUCACGUUUGCAUUGUUGGCCCGCGUGGUUUGUUCUCUCGAUCUCCCCACCACAAGUGCAGGGGCCAAAGCGUUUUUUUUUUUUCGUUUCAGCCCCGAGAAUUCACUUUUGUGGUGCGAAGGGGUUUGCUUGCUGUAUUUCUCCCAAUUUUUUUUUACCGAUCAUUGCGCUCGAUGCCCUGUUUUCUCUCGUCGACAACGCCCCCCCCCUCUCCCUCUCUCUCUCGCCCUCGUCUCCUCUUGCACGUGUAGACGUUGAAUGCGGUGUUCAUCCUUUCUUCGAGCGUUUGCUGGAAGGAAAGGAGAAGUGACGAAGGCAGGCAAUUUCUAGUUCAGCGUAGCGCUUCGUAUGCACCUGCUUUGUUUUUAUGAUAUCAGGCAUAUUGCCCUGGAAUACG